Molecule: long non-coding RNA, 2582 nt
Organism: Olea europaea var. sylvestris
Lineage: Eukaryota; Viridiplantae; Streptophyta; Magnoliopsida; Lamiales; Oleaceae
Exons: 3
Source: RefSeq, a predicted model, not a curated record
ACAAUUUCUCUCCUCUCUCCCCCAAUUCAUCGUCUCUCUCUCUCUCUCUCCAGGCUGUAGCGAUUUCAAUCUUUAAACUCUUAAUUGGAUCUUUAACAUUAGCGACUGAAGCCCGUAUUUUGCCUUCUUCUCAAUGGAUAUCAUCCUUUAAAGAUAAGAAAUAGUUAUUGGAGUACAUUAAUAAACAAACCUUCAAGGUCCCCACUCGUACAUAUGACAUCGGAUCAUAGUUGGACGAUGCUUCGGUCAGAUGAAGGAUUUCUUUCAGACAGAUUUAUUGAAGAGGUUGAAGAAUUCAUUAAAUUUUCCAUAUCUCAAAUAGGAGUUGGAGAUAUAAUUAAAUGCCCAUGCUCUAUAUCUAACAAUAGAAGGUUUCUAAAAGGGGAUGAUGUGAAAUUUCAUAUUUAUAAAAAUGGAUUUACAAGGGGCUAUACGCAAUGGAAUGCACAUGGAGAACCAUUUAUUUUCAGUGGCCCAGAUUUAGCUGAAUCUCAACUAUACGAGCUACAACAAACUAUACCCAUGAAGCAAUGAUGAUAGAUGCGAUGGGUCCAGAAUUGUACAAUGAUUAUAUUACUCCAAAUGUUUGUGGACACAAGGAACAAGCCCCAAAUCAACAUGCAUCAAAUUUCUUUAGACUAUUACAAGAAGUUGACAAACCUGUUUGGCUUGAUUGUAGUUCCUACACCACUUAAAAAAGAAGGUGAAAAAUCGGGCUAAUCUAGAGGCAUAUAUGUUGAGGCAUACCUAGUAGAAGAAAUGUCAACUUUUUGCUCUUUGUAUUUUGAUCAACUUAUUGAAACAAGGUUGAAUCGUGUGUCGAGAAAUGAUGAUGGAGAUUUUGUCAAUCCUAAAUGACGACUAUCAAUUUUUACUCACCCUGGACGAUCCUUUGGCGUUUAGCAUCAUAAUGUCAGAUUAAUGACAACUUAGGAAUUCAGAGCAGCUUCAAUGUAUGUUCUCUUGAGUUGAGAGGAAGUAACCCCUUUUGUGGCUUGAAUUGUAGAGUUGUUCGCUGCAUUAUAGUUUUUCACUUCAUGUAGGAAGCUUGAUAAGCAUAGGAGAACAUUGUAUCCCCAAAUUUCUAAUGCACAAUUUAAUGGUUUACGCGAGGAACAUUUUUCACGUUGGUUGAGGGAAUACGUAAGUGAUUAUGCAAAUAUUGUCUCCACUGCCUACAAAGUAUUUGAUAAAAUGAGUUCUAAUACACAUUAUUUAUUCUGUUUAGGUUUUGGAAGAUCAUAAUGCAGUUGAUAAUCACAUUAAGGCUUUCUCGUACAAUCAAAUGUUAUAACGAAUACUUUGUCAAUGGUUUUGAGUUUCACACUUAAGACUAUGGUUCUAACAAAGCAACAAUGAAUAGUGGUGUUUGCGUACUGGGAAGUUGUCAUAAUGAUAAUAAGCGUGACUACUAUGGUAGGUUAACUGAAAUAUUAGAACUAAAUUAUUUAGGGGAUAUUGUAAACAAGGUUAUUUUAUUCAAGUGUGAUUGGUUUGACACCAAUGGUGGGGUUAGAGUCCAUUGAAGAUUCAAUCUCGUCGAGCUUAAUCAUAAGAAGAAACUACCGGUAAAUGAUGUAUUUAUACUUGCUCAACAAGUAUAUUACACGUGUUUUCCUACAAAUGCUAGAGAUAGAGUUGAUUGAUGGGUGGUUGUGAAAACAAAAGCAAUAAAUGUUCGCAAUAUACAAGGAAUCAUAUUGGAGAAUGAAGAGUGUAAUGUGUGGGUGGAACUUGCAUUCCAAGAGGAUCAACCAUUGUCUACCCAGUAACUUGUUUAAAUAUCAGAGUUCGAUCGCCAAAAUUUAGAUUGUGACGAUGUUGGGGCUGAAGAAGUAGUCUAGCUUGACUCUAGGAUGUCCAAUAUGGAAGUAGAAGAAAAUGUAGAACCAGAAUACGUUGAUAAUAGUGAUGGUUUCACAACAACUGUAAGUAAAGGAGAAAAUUGUAUUCUUAUUAUUCUUUUGGUUUUUAGUUCAUUUGUUAGUUUUAUGUCAUUGUUCAUAUUUUUCAUGGACUUAAGAGCCUCACCUUGCAGUAGGAAAGUGUUCGUUGUUGGGACGGGUUCAAACUGGACUGAAGGGAGGAGGAAUUUAAUACUCCGAUCUUCCUGGGGAUUCAUCAUUGGCUAGGGAUUUUGCAGGAUAACAUCUAACCAGUAUAUGAGAAAGAGAAUGGUGGCGAGAAGGGUGCUACAUGAGGAGCUAUGGUGUUUCAAGAAACUAAAUUUUAGCAAUUGAGUGAUUUUGAGAAAUGGUGAUUCAAGAAUCCAAUUAUGGCGAUCUGCACUGCAGCCAAGCCCAUGUCAAAUACCAGCAGAAAUCUCCUAACUAAACUUGCUAGUACCCAUUCUCUACGUGUUUAAAUUGGACCCCUUGUAUCUGUUCGAUAAUAAUGAAUUUAUGUGCUGAGUGCUACCUUGAAUUCAUGCUGGACACAAUUUGUUUUGUUGGCACUCCUUGUAUCUUGGUGCACAAUCUUGUAUUCUAUUUGAGACCUCUACUGCCUUGGACGUUUUAAUGUUAUUUCUUUAGUUGGUUUGUUAAUAAUUUGAUGUUGUGGCUUUCAAAGUCUAGCAAAGU